CUACGGGCGCAGCAGUGAGGAAUAUUGCACAAUGGGGGGAACCCUGAUGCAGCAACGCCGCGUGGAGGAUGACGCAUUUCGGUGUGUAAACUCCUUUUAUAUGUCAAGAAAAUGACGGUAGCAUAUGAAUAAGCACCGGCUAACUCCGUGCCAGCAGCCGCGGUAAUACGGAGGGUGCAAGCGUUACUCGGAAUCACUGGGCGUAAAGGACGCGUAGGCGGGCUUGUAAGUCAGGUGUGAAAUCCUACAGCUUAACUGUAGAACUGCACUUGAAACUACGAGCCUAGAGUAUGGGAGGGGGAGAUGGAAUUAGUGGUGUAGGGGUAAAAUCCGUAGAUAUCACUAGGAAUACCUAAAGCGAAGGCGAUCUCCUGGAACAUAACUGACGCUAAGGCGUGAAAGCGUGGGGAGCAAACAGGAUUAGAUACCCGGGUAGUC
Molecule: ribosomal RNA, 438 nt
Filed under: uncultured bacterium
Lineage: Bacteria
Description: partial 16S ribosomal RNA
Rfam family: Bacterial small subunit ribosomal RNA
Source: RNAcentral